Molecule: ribosomal RNA, 581 nt
Filed under: uncultured bacterium
Lineage: Bacteria
Description: bacterial SSU rRNA
Rfam family: Bacterial small subunit ribosomal RNA
Source: RNAcentral
ACGGGUGAGUAAUGUCUGGGAAACUGCCCGAUGGAGGGGGAUAACUACUGGAAACGGUAGCUAAUACCGCAUAACGUCUUCGGACCAAAGUGGGGGACCUUCGGGCCUCACACCAUCGGAUGUGCCCAGAUGGGAUUAGCUAGUAGGUGGGGUAACGGCUCACCUAGGCGACGAUCCCUAGCUGGUCUGAGAGGAUGACCAGCCAGACUGGAACUGAGACACGGUCCAGACUCCUACGGGAGGCAGCAGUGGGGAAUAUUGCACAAUGGGCGCAAGCCUGAUGCAGCCAUGCCGCGUGUAUGAAGAAGGCCUUCGGGUUGUAAAGUACUUUCAGCGGGGAGGAAGGCGAUGCGGUUAAUAACCGCGUCGAUUGACGUUACCCGCAGAAGAAGCACCGGCUAACUCCGUGCCAGCAGCCGCGGUAAUACGGAGGGUGCAAGCGUUAAUCGGAAUUACUGGGCGUAAAGCGCACGCAGGCGGUCUGUCAAGUCGGAUGUGAAAUCCCCGGGCUUAACCUGGGAACUGCAUUCGAAACUGGCAGGCUUGAGUCUCGUAGAGGGGGGUAGAAUUCCAGGUGUAGC